GGAUGUGAGGGCAAUCUGGCUACAGCAUCUGUCACCCCAUUGAUCACCAGUGUUGAUUUGGCUGAUCUGGCUGGCUAGGUGGGUGUCAUCCCCUUCCUCCCUCACUGCUCCAUGUGAGUCCCUCCCAAAGCUGCACGCUUGGUUGAAGGAGAGGAUCAUCUCUGAUAGAGGAGGACCGUUCUUCCGUCAAGGGUAUACGAGUAGCUGCACUUCUCUGCUAAAAUCUCCCAACAAGCUCUCAAGAAGUGUUAGGGUUAGACUACUUAAUUAGCGUGACAUCCCAUUGAGUCAUUCUCUACAAUU
Molecule: small nuclear RNA, 303 nt
Filed under: Castor canadensis (American beaver)
Lineage: Eukaryota; Metazoa; Chordata; Mammalia; Rodentia; Castoridae
Description: 7SK RNA (ENSCCNG00000018076.1)
Rfam family: 7SK RNA
About the family: 7SK was discovered as an abundant small nuclear RNA in the mid-70s but a possible function has only recently been suggested. Two independent studies have found that 7SK RNA binds the CDK9/cyclin T complex (known as elongation factor P-TEFb). P-TEFb activates transcription by phosphorylating the C-terminal domain of RNA polymerase II.
Source: RNAcentral